UACGAAGGGGGCUAGCGUUGUUCGGAAUUACUGGGCGUAAAGCGCGUGUAGGCGGGGCGUUAAGUCGGGGGUGAAAGCCCAGAGCUCAACUCUGGAACUGCCUUCGAUACUGGCGGCCUGGAGCAUGAUAGAGGCGAGUGGAAUUGCGAGUGUAGAGGUGAAAUUCGUAGAUAUUCGCAGGAACACCAGUGGCGAAGGCGACUCGCUGGAUCAUUGCUGACGCUGAGACGCGAAAGCCUGGGGAGCAAACAGG
Molecule: ribosomal RNA, 253 nt
Filed under: uncultured bacterium
Lineage: Bacteria
Description: partial 16S ribosomal RNA
Rfam family: Bacterial small subunit ribosomal RNA
Source: RNAcentral